Molecule: ribosomal RNA, 497 nt
Filed under: uncultured bacterium
Lineage: Bacteria
Description: partial 16S ribosomal RNA
Rfam family: Bacterial small subunit ribosomal RNA
Source: RNAcentral
GAUGAACGCUGGCGGCGUGCCUAAUACAUGCAAGUCGAGCGAACGGACGAGGAGCUUGCUUCUCUGAUGUUAGCGGCGGACGGGUGAGUCACACGUGGAUAACCUACCUAUAAGACUGGGAUAACUUCGAGAAACCGUAGCUAAUAGCGGAGAAUCUCUUGCACCGCAUGGUUCAAAGGAAAAAGACGGUCGUGCUGGCAGUUCUAGAUGGAUCCGGGCUGCAUGAGCUAGUAGGUAAGGUAACGGCCUACCAAGGCAACGAUGCAUAGCCGAACGGAGAGGGGGAUAGGCCACAUGAGAACGGGGACAGGCACCAGGGGCCUACGGGAGGCAGCAGUCUGGAACCGUCCGCAGAGGUCGAAAGCCUGACGGAGCGAGGCGGCGCGAGUGAUGAAGGUCUCCGGAGCGUAAAACUCUGUUAUUAGGGAAAAACCGAUGUGUAAGUAGCCGAGCACAUAUUGACGGUACCGAGUCAGAAAGCACCGGCUAACUACGUG